UUCCGUAGGUGAACCUGCGGAGGGAUCAUUACCGAGUUUACAACUCCCAAACCCAAUGUGAACGUUACCAAACUGUUGCCUCGGCGGGGUCACGCCCCGGGUGCGUCGCAGCCCCGGAACCAGGCGCCCGCCGGAGGAACCAACCAAACUCUUUCUGUAGUCCCCUCGCGGACGUAUUUCUUACAGCUCUGAGCAAAAAUUCAAAAUGAAUCAAAACUUUCAACAACGGAUCUCUUGGUUCUGGCAUCGAUGAAGAACGCAGCGAAAUGCGAUAAGUAAUGUGAAUUGCAGAAUUCAGUGAAUCAUCGAAUCUUUGAACGCACAUUGCGCCCGCCAGUAUUCUGGCGGGCAUGCCUGUCCGAGCGUCAUUUCAACCCUCGAACCCCUCCGGGGGAUCGGCGUUGGGGAUCGGGACCCCUCACACGGGUGCCGGCCCCUAAAUACAGUGGCGGUCUCGCCGCAGCCUCUCCUGCGCAGUAGUUUGCACAACUCGCACCGGGAGCGCGGCGCGUCCACGUCCGUAAAACACCCAACUUUCUGAAAUGUUGACCUCGGAUCAGGUAGGAAUACCCGCUGAACUUAAGCAUAUCAAUAAGCGGAGGAA
This 604-nucleotide ribosomal RNA is filed under the name Trichoderma asperellum. Its description in RNAcentral is "eukaryotic LSU rRNA". The stretch from base 215 to 368 matches the Rfam family "5.8S ribosomal RNA". The record is from RNAcentral. Lineage: Eukaryota; Fungi; Ascomycota; Sordariomycetes; Hypocreales; Hypocreaceae.